GCAUUGGUGGUUCAGUGGUAGAAUUCUCGCCUUUCAUGCAGGAGACCGGGGUUGGUUCCCGGCCAAUACG
Molecule: transfer RNA, 70 nt
Filed under: Loxodonta africana (African savanna elephant)
Lineage: Eukaryota; Metazoa; Chordata; Mammalia; Proboscidea; Elephantidae
Rfam family: tRNA
About the family: Transfer RNA (tRNA) molecules are approximately 80 nucleotides in length. Their secondary structure includes four short double-helical elements and three loops (D, anti-codon, and T loops).
Source: Rfam by way of RNAcentral